Molecule: ribosomal RNA, 253 nt
Filed under: uncultured bacterium
Lineage: Bacteria
Description: partial 16S ribosomal RNA
Rfam family: Bacterial small subunit ribosomal RNA
Source: RNAcentral
UUCGGAGGGCGCAACAGUUGAUCGGAAUCACGGGGCGUAAAGCGCGUGUAGGCGGCUUUGCAAGUCGGAUGUGAAAUGCCGAGGCUCAACCUCGGACCUGCACUCGAAACUGGCUGGCUCGAGUCCCGGAGAGGGUGGCGGAAUUCCCGGUGUAGGGGUGAAAUCCGUAGAUAUCGGGAGGAACACCAGUGGCGAAGGCGGCCUCCUGGACGGUGACUGACGCUGAGACGCGAAAGCGUGGGGAGCAAACAGG